RNAcentral lists this ribosomal RNA (40 nucleotides) under Ficus pyriformis. RNAcentral describes it as "partial 28S ribosomal RNA". The record is from RNAcentral. Lineage: Eukaryota; Viridiplantae; Streptophyta; Magnoliopsida; Rosales; Moraceae.
CAACGCGACCCCAGGUCAGGCGGGGCUCCCCGCUGAUUUU